UGGAUUUUGAUUUUGGAGAAUUUAUUGUUUGUCAAUUUCAAUUGUCAUACAAAUUUGUAUUUUAGGUGUGUAUUUUCAAUUUAGGCCUAAGUUACAACUACUACAGUUUAAAGAACCAUUUUUGUCAUCACAAAAUGGGUGGAAUGAGGUGGAUAUUGGGGACUGGGAGGACUGGAGUGAUAGUGAUUCAGGAGUUGAGAUUUUGGAUUUUGGAGAUGGAUGCACCCUCCUUCAGAAGGCGCUGAAAGGAAUACUAAUUAUAGGCCGCUGUACUCCGUAAAAGAACUUAAGGAAGAGCACCUAGUGAGAUAAGUGUGUGUCUGCCAUAUCAUCCGUUAAACAGCCAGGUUUUUGAAGGAAGAAAGAUGUAGCCCCAGCUCUGGACAAAAAUAUUAUGGAGAAGGUUGGCCGCUGUACAGGGCAGCUAUAGUUAUUAUUAUAUGUUGCCUUUUAUUGUUAUGUACUGUUUUUAUACUUUACCAAUAAACCUUAUAUUUAAUCUA
Macrosteles quadrilineatus (aster leafhopper) is the source of this 503-nucleotide long non-coding RNA. RefSeq lists it as uncharacterized. The record is from RefSeq and is a predicted model, not a curated record. The transcript has 3 exons. Lineage: Eukaryota; Metazoa; Arthropoda; Insecta; Hemiptera; Cicadellidae.